This 331-nucleotide ribosomal RNA is filed under the name uncultured eukaryote. Its description in RNAcentral is "partial 18S ribosomal RNA". It matches the Rfam family "Eukaryotic small subunit ribosomal RNA", at positions 1470 to 1796 of the family's 1831-position model. The record is from RNAcentral.
CCCUUAGAUGUUCUGGGCCGCACGCGCGCUACACUGUUCGACGCAGCGAGUCUUAACCUUGACCGAAAGGUUUGGGUAAUCUUCAGCAAAGUCGAACGUGAUGGGGAUCGAUCAUUGCAAUUAUUGAUCGUGAACGAGGAAUUCCUAGUAAGUGCAAGUCAUCAGCUUGCGCUGAUUACGUCCCUGCCCUUUGUACACACCGCCCGUCGCUACUACCGAUUGAAUGGUUUAGUGAGAUCUCUGGAUUGACGCUGGCUAGGGGGCGACCCUUGGCCAGGCUGUCGAGAAACUGCUCAAAUUUGAUCAUUUAGAGGAAGUAAAAGUCGUAACA